UUAGCACAAAAUAAUUUUUAAAACAACUAAUUAAUCAUUCCACAUCCAUGCAUGUAUACACAUUAAAGGCUGGAUGCCAACAGUCAAGCUUUGUGUGCAUAUUUGGAAAAGGCAAGGAAUAUUUGAAAGGCCCAUUCUUUCUUUGGCCUUCCCAUAUUUAUCAUCCAUAUAUUCAACAUAAACUUGAUUCAUCAAUUGUUCUUCACUUAUUUACUCCACAAAGUGAAAACCACCCAGAUUUGAUGUACACAUUAAUUGCAUUCUAUUUUAUUCCACCCUUCUGCUUUCAUACUUCUUCAUUCAAAACAGAAUCCUAUCCUGUCACUUCUUUGUGGUUCUAGGACAGAAUUCACAUACUAAAUAUCAUAAGGAACAACUUAAUGGAUGAGACUAUUCAAUGUUCAAUGUUAAAAUGUCAGCUACUAUGCUAAGUAGAUGGAUGAUGGAGGAAAGAAGUUACAAAUGAUGUCUGCCUAGAAAUUGAUUUAUUCUCAGCAGAUGGGUACCUCAGUCUGUGAGCACAGAUAGGCCAUGUUCAUAUGGAUUAUAUAUUACCUGUCAGUACUUUGUCUGCAUGGAAGAAUCAAAUUAAAAUAUAAAACCCAUAAAAAACUAUUAAACAUGGCUUCUAUUGAAGUCAAACUGAUUAUAUUGUUCAGGAAUUCCAUUUUAUAUAUAUUAGUAUUGAUCAUUCUGCAGCUGAUAUGCCAUUGAAAAAAUUUUCUCCAUUUUUUUAUCAAGAAAGAAAUUCAUAACAUUCCACUAGAUAUUCUUAAUAUAUUAAAAAGAUUAAGAUUUAGUGACUUGUUGCUGGAUGUUCACCA
This 824-nucleotide long non-coding RNA is filed under the name Androctonus crassicauda. Lineage: Eukaryota; Metazoa; Arthropoda; Arachnida; Scorpiones; Buthidae. The record is from RNAcentral.